Molecule: long non-coding RNA, 94 nt
Organism: Octopus sinensis (East Asian common octopus)
Lineage: Eukaryota; Metazoa; Mollusca; Cephalopoda; Octopoda; Octopodidae
Exons: 3
Source: RefSeq, a predicted model, not a curated record
UGAAGAUCAUUUCUCAGCACUUCAUCCCACAUCCUCCUGUGUCUUCCUCUUCUAUAAGUUCCCUCCACAACUGUAGCUUCACACUUCUCUAUGC